CCCUUAUGAUUUGGGCUACACACGUGCUACAAUGGACAAUACAAAGGGCAGCGAAACCGCGAGGUCAAGCAAAUCCCAUAAAGUUGUUCUCAGUUCGGAUUGUAGUCUGCAACUCGACUAUAUGAAGCUGGAAUCGCUAGUAAUCGUAGAUCAGCAUGCUACGGUGAAUACGUUCCCGGGUCUUGUACACACCGCCCGUCACACCACGAGAGUUUGUAACACCCGAAGCCGGUGGAGUAAC
RNAcentral lists this ribosomal RNA (241 nucleotides) under Mycobacterium tuberculosis. RNAcentral's name for it is "partial 16S ribosomal RNA". It matches the Rfam family "Bacterial small subunit ribosomal RNA", at positions 1199 to 1439 of the family's 1533-position model. Lineage: Bacteria; Bacillati; Actinomycetota; Actinomycetes; Mycobacteriales; Mycobacteriaceae. The record is from RNAcentral.